RNAcentral lists this ribosomal RNA (926 nucleotides) under uncultured bacterium. Its description in RNAcentral is "bacterial SSU rRNA". It matches the Rfam family "Bacterial small subunit ribosomal RNA", at positions 9 to 970 of the family's 1533-position model. The record is from RNAcentral.
GAGUUUGAUCCUGGCUCAGGAUGAACGCUGGCGGCGUGCCUAAUACAUGCAAGUCGAGCGGUAAGGCCUCUUCGGAGGUACACGAGCGGCGGACGGCUGAGUAACGCGUAGGAACGUACCCCAAACUGAGGGAUAAGCACCAGAAAUGGUGUCUAAUACCGCAUGUGCUCCACGGAGUAAAGCUUCAGCGGUUUGGGAACGGCCUGCGUACGAUUAGAUUGUUGGUGAGGUAAUGGCUCACCAAGUCGACGAUCGUUAGCUGGUCUGAGAGGAUGAUCAGCCAGACUGGGACUGAGAACGGCCCAGACUCCUACGGGAGGCAGCAGUAGGGAAUUUUCCACAAUGGGGGCAACCCUGAUGGAGCAACGCCGCGUGCAGGAUGAAUGCCUUCGGGUUGUAAACUGCUUUUAUAUGUGACGAAUAUGACGGUAGCAUAUGAAUAAGGAUCGGCUAACUCCGUGCCAGCAGCCGCGGUCAUACGGAGGAUCCAAGCGUUAUCCGGAAUUACUGGGCGUAAAGAGUUGCGUAGGUGGCAGAGUAUGUCUGUAGUGAAAGCGUGUGGCUCAACCAUAUACACAUUACAGAAACUGCUCAGCUAGAGGACGAGAGAGGUUAUUGGAAUUCCUAGUGUAGGAGUGAAAUCCGUAGAUAUUAGGAGGAACACCGAUGGCGUAGGCAGAUAACUGGCUCGUUCCUGACACUAAGGCACGAAAGCGUGGGGAGCAAACGGGAUUAGAUACCCCGGUAGUCCACGCCGUAAACGAUGGAUGCUAGCUGUUAUAGGUAUCGACCCCUGUAGUAGCGAAGCUAACGCGUUAAGCAUCCCGCCUGUGGAGUACGGUCGCAAGACUAAAACAUAAAGGAAUUGACGGGGACCCGCACAAGCGGUGGAGCGUGUUGUUUAAUUCGAUGGUAAACGAAGAACC